Sinocyclocheilus anshuiensis is the source of this 326-nucleotide long non-coding RNA. RefSeq lists it as uncharacterized. The transcript has 3 exons. NCBI's taxonomy places the organism in Eukaryota, Metazoa, Chordata, Actinopteri, Cypriniformes, Cyprinidae. The record is from RefSeq and is a predicted model, not a curated record.
CCCCUGAAAAUAGUAAGAGGAGAGAGGAGUGUCUGUACUACAAGAAUCUCACUGAGAAUAUCUUCAGAGGACUAGAUAUCAUGAUGAUAGCGCUGUCAGUCCAUCAGAUCUGUGUGACCAUCAGUUUCUGUGUUUUGACUGGGAAAGCUUUGUGCAAGAAGGAUGAAGAUGUAAAGUCGGUGGAGGAUCCAGAACUUCACAAGCCGCUCCUGGAAGAUGACACUCCUGAUGCUGUGUGACACAGAUAAAUAUAAACACACAAAAUAAUCAAACUUACUCUUUGUGCUUGUAGUGCAAUGGCAUUUUGUGUCUCAAUAUUGUAAUGA